RNAcentral lists this ribosomal RNA (460 nucleotides) under uncultured bacterium. Its description in RNAcentral is "partial 16S ribosomal RNA". It matches the Rfam family "Bacterial small subunit ribosomal RNA", at positions 338 to 795 of the family's 1533-position model. The record is from RNAcentral.
CCUACGGGGGGCUGCAGUGAGGAAUAUUGGUCAAUGGACGAGAGUCUGAACCAGCCAAGUAGCGUGAAGGAUGACUGCCCUAUGGGUUGUAAACUUCUUUUAUAUAGGAAUAAAACGUUGCACGUGUGCCUUUUUGUAUGUACCUUAUGAAUAAGGAUCGGCUAACUCCGUGCCAGCAGCCGCGGUAAUACGGAGGAUCCGAGCGUUAUCCGGAUUUAUUGGGUUUAAAGGGAGCGUAGGUGGGUUGUUAAGUCAGUUGUGAAAGUUUGCGGCUCAAACGUAAAAUUGCAAUUGAUACUGGCAGUCUUGAGUACAGUAGAGGUAGGCGGAAUGCGUGGUGUAGCGGUGAAAUGCUUAGAUAUCACGAAGAACCCCGAUUGCGAAGGCAGAUUACUAAACUGUGACUGACACUGAGGCUCGAAAGUGUGGGUAUCAAACAGGAUUAGAUACCCCAGUAGUC